Non-coding RNA from Arachis ipaensis, 814 nucleotides. The record is from RefSeq and is a predicted model, not a curated record. NCBI's taxonomy places the organism in Eukaryota, Viridiplantae, Streptophyta, Magnoliopsida, Fabales, Fabaceae.
AUAAGGCUAAUAAGAAAGCCCUCCUUCUCUUCGAAACCAAAGAGCUUCCUCCCUCCACCGUACCGAACCCUAACCCACGCCUCAGAAUCAAAGAAGUCAUCGCACUGCAGCUCUCCAUGAAGCCGUAAAUGGCACCAUCAUCGUAAGUCACCAGGAAGCCCCAAAUCGUCACUCACCAUCGUCGCACCAUCAUCGUCACUCCAUUCUUCCCGAUAUCGUCGCUGCCUCCUUCUUCCUGGCAUCGCUGAGUCUCUCCGCGGCGUCGCUGCUUCUCCCCGCUCCGAGGCUUCACUGCUUCUCCACGGCGUCCUUGCUUCUCCCUGUUCUGUUUCUACGUCGCUAUUUCUGCUUCACUUUCUUCGCUGGUUGUGGAUUGUGCUUCGCUACUGCUUCGCUGUUGCUGCUGCUUCGCUGCAUUGGCCGUGAUUUGUCAUCUGUGUUUGUCUCUUUAAAAUAAAAAAAGGGUUGUCAUCUGUGGGUUGUCUCUUUGCUGCUGCUGCUUCACUGCAUCGGCCGUUUGUGGGUUGUCAUCUGUGUUUGUCUCUUUAAAAUCAGAAAAAGAGAAUCAAAUAGCGGAUCUCUCUGUAGCUGCGACUAUCUUAGACACUGAGCUACACUACAGGUAAAUCAUUUAAUAUAUUAUCUUUUUAAAUUUGUUUGAACAUUUAAUUGUUAAGAAUAUUUACUGAUUAAUUGAUUGAUUAAGCUUCUUUGCAUAGUUUGUUAGAUACAAAUUGUUAGUCUCAUGAUUGGUUGAGAUGUUCUCUUUUGAAUAUGUGUGGUUGACUUCUAGAAAUUCUUUAGAUGCAAUAAG